AACGAACGCUGGCGGCAUGCCUAACACAUGCAAGUCGAACGAGACCUUCGGGUCUAGUGGCGCACGGGUGCGUAACGCGUGGGAACCUGCCCUUAGGUUCGGAAUAACUCCCCGAAAGGGGUGCUAAUACCGGAUAAUGUCUUCGGACCAAAGAUUUAUCGCCUUUGGAUGGGCCCGCGUUGGAUUAGCUAGUUGGUAGGGUAAAAGCCUACCAAGGCGACGAUCCAUAGCUGGUCUGAGAGGAGGAUCAGCCACACUGGGACUGAGACACGGCCCAGACUCCUACGGGAGGCAGCAGUGGGGAAUAUUGGACAAUGGGCGAAAGCCUGAUCCAGCAAUGCCGCGUGAGUGAUGAAGGCCUGAGGGUUGUAAAGCUCUUUUACCCGGGAUGAUAAUGACAGUACCGGGAGAAUAAGCGCCGGCUAACUCCGUG
This 433-nucleotide ribosomal RNA is filed under the name uncultured bacterium. RNAcentral describes it as "partial 16S ribosomal RNA". It matches the Rfam family "Bacterial small subunit ribosomal RNA", at positions 29 to 507 of the family's 1533-position model. The record is from RNAcentral.